Rhipicephalus sanguineus (brown dog tick) is the source of this 925-nucleotide long non-coding RNA. RefSeq lists it as uncharacterized. The record is from RefSeq and is a predicted model, not a curated record. Lineage: Eukaryota; Metazoa; Arthropoda; Arachnida; Ixodida; Ixodidae. The transcript is spliced from 2 exons.
GAGCGCCGCUAGGUCUCAUUCGAAGAUGGCCGCGUCCAGCACCGCACGCGAUGGUAUUCCAGCUCGAACGUUCUACAGUAGAAAAGGUUGGCGACGACGUAAGUGACUUCAGUGGCCUUUCAGACAGCGAUGAAGAAGAAUGGACCGCUGCUAACGACGCUGCAUCUGAUGAAGAUGAGCCGGAUUUCUUCUGCAGCAGUGCAUCAUCCUACUCAACUUCUGGAAGGGACUGGGAAAAGGAUUUGCUAGGGUUUGGCACCCAGACUUCUCCGGGACUUUUAGUGAGCCGGAUGACAGAGACCCCUGGAGUUGUUUCGGGAGCUGCUCACGAACGGCAUGUUAGAGAUGCUAGUUCAACAAACAAAUCUCUACAGCACUCAAAUGUACCAUAGCAUUUUCAUCUGUGCAGCAAAUGCAUGGAAUCUGCACAGGCGCCAAUCUGCCCAACUGCGCUCCAAGCCAAUGAAAAGGCGUAUGUUUAUCGCUGCGCUGUCAGAGUGCCUGAUGCUAUUUGAAAAGACAAAAAAGGGACGCCCAUUUAGCUUGCCAUCACCUGCUCCUAAAAAAAGAGUUCCACUAAGAAAGCCCAAUGAGGACGUCAGGAAGGAUGGUGUUGGGCAUUUGCCACUGGUAACGAACCAGUGGCUGCGCUGCAGGAACUGUGCGGCAAGUGAGAAUAAGUUCAGUUCCAUAAUUUGUUCAAAAUGUGGCAUCAAACUUUGCCUCAACAGGGAAAUUGUUUUUUUUUUGUUAUCAUAGGUGGUGAAGCAUGACACUGGCGCGCCAUCAAUAUCUUUUGAGAAAAGCCCACUGUAUCAAGUAUGAUACGAACUGUAUUUUUGAUAUGUGACAUCUUUAUCACUGCAACUUGUUCUAAAUAUGUUCACUUGCAUCCCAAGAGCAAAUAAACGAGAUAUCCGAUUUU